Molecule: transfer RNA, 76 nt
Filed under: Flavobacteriales bacterium
Lineage: Bacteria; Pseudomonadati; Bacteroidota; Flavobacteriia; Flavobacteriales
Description: tRNA-Phe
Rfam family: tRNA
About the family: Transfer RNA (tRNA) molecules are approximately 80 nucleotides in length. Their secondary structure includes four short double-helical elements and three loops (D, anti-codon, and T loops).
Source: RNAcentral
GGUACUAUAGCUCAGUUGGUAGAGCAACGGAUUGAAAAUCCGUGUGUCCCAGGUUCGAAUCCCGGUAGUACCACCU